UUGAUGACGAGUGGCGGACGGGUGAGUAAAGUAUGGGGAUCUGCCGAAUGGAGGGGGACAACAGUUGGAAACGACUGCUAAUACCGCAUAAAGUUGAGAGACCAAAGCAUGGGACUUUCGGGCCAUGCGCCAUUUGAUGAACCCAUAUGGGAUUAGCUAGUUGGUAGGGUAAUGGCUUACCAAGGCGACGAUCUCUAGCUGGUCUGAGAGGAUGACCAGCCACACUGGAACUGAGACACGGUCCAGACUCCUACGGGAGGCAGCAGUGGGGAAUAUUGCACAAUGGGGGGAACCCUGAUGCAGCCAUGCCGCGUGUAUGAAGAAGGCCUUCGGGUUGUAAAGUACUUUCGGUAAUGAGGAAGGUAGCGUAUCUAAUAGGUGCGUUAAUUGACGUUAAUUACAGAAGAAGCACCGGCUAACUCCGUGCCAGCAGCCGCGGUAAUACGGAGGGUGCGAGCGUUAAUCGGAAUGACUGGGCGUAAAGGGCAUGUAGGCGGAUAAUUAAGUUAGGUGUGAAAGCCCUGGGCUCAACCUAGGAAUUGCACUUAAAACUGGUUAACUAGAGUAUUGUAGAGGAAGGUAGAAUUCCACGUGUAGCGGUGAAAUGCGUAGAGAUGUGGAGGAAUACCGGUGGCGAAGGCGGCCUUCUGGACAGAUACUGACGCUGAGAUGCGAAAGCGUGGGGAGCAAACAGGAUUAGAUACCCUGGUAGUCCACGCUGUAAACGAUGUCGAUUUGGAGUUUGUUGCCCUGAGUGAUGGGCUCCGAAGCUAACGCGAUAAAUCGACCGCCUGGGGAGUACGGCCGCAAGGUUAAAACUCAAAUGAAUUGACGGGGGCCCGCACAAGCGGUGGAGCAUGUGGUUUAAUUCGAUGCAACGCGAAGAACCUUACCUGGUCUUGACAUCCACAGAAUCUUGCAGAGAUGCGAGAGUGCCUUCGGGAACUGUGAGACAGGUGCUGCAUGGCUGUCGUCAGCUCGUGUUGUGAAAUGUUGGGUUAAGUCCCGCAACGAGCGCAACCCUUAUCCUUUGUUGCCAUCGGUUAGGCCGGGAACUCAAAGGAGACUGCCGUUGAUAAAGCGGAGGAAGGUGGGGACGACGUCAAGUCAUCAUGGCCCUUACGACCAGGGCUA
RNAcentral lists this ribosomal RNA (1134 nucleotides) under gamma proteobacterium PEB0147. RNAcentral's name for it is "bacterial SSU rRNA". It matches the Rfam family "Bacterial small subunit ribosomal RNA", at positions 85 to 1216 of the family's 1533-position model. The record is from RNAcentral. Lineage: Bacteria; Pseudomonadati; Pseudomonadota; Gammaproteobacteria.